Molecule: ribosomal RNA, 253 nt
Filed under: uncultured bacterium
Lineage: Bacteria
Description: partial 16S ribosomal RNA
Rfam family: Bacterial small subunit ribosomal RNA
Source: RNAcentral
UACAGAGGUCCCAAGCGUUGUUCGGAUUCACUGGGCGUAAAGGGUGCGUAGGCGGUCGGGUAAGUCUGAUGUGAAAUCUCACAGCUUAACUGUGAAACUGCAUUGGAUACUAUUCGGCUUGAGAGUUGGAGGGGGGACUGGAAUUCUUGGUGUAGCAGAGAAAUGCGUAGAUAUCAAGAGGAACACCAGUGGCGAAGGCGAGUCCCUGGACAACUUCUGACGCUGAGGCACGAAAGCUAGGGGAGCAAACAGG